This 1536-nucleotide long non-coding RNA is filed under the name Prunus persica (peach). RNAcentral's name for it is "long non-coding RNA (PPER_LNC006811)". Lineage: Eukaryota; Viridiplantae; Streptophyta; Magnoliopsida; Rosales; Rosaceae. The record is from RNAcentral.
GAGCACAUUAUUUACAUUAUGUGUAUAUAUAGCUCAUUCUUCUUGCCUUUGUAUAGGGAUGGCGAUGGGUCGAAUCGGGAGUGAGUAGCCAUUCCCAUUCCCAUCCCCAUCCCCGUAAAACCUUUUUCCCCCAUCCCCACCUUCAUACAUGCAAUACAUACUUGAAGAAAAAAAAAAAAAGGAUAUACGAAGGCAAUAUAGCAGCAAUACACACGCAAUAAAGGGCGAUACAAUGGCAAUACACAAACCCCAUUCCCCUUAUAAAUUUAUUCCAACAUAGACUUGAAAAAAAAAAAAAUAUGCGGGGGCAAUACAGUAGCAAUACAUAGGCAAUAAAAGGCUAUACAAUGGCAAUACACAAGGAAUAAAAGGCUAUACAAUGGCAAUACACAAACUUCAUACUCCUCCUAUAAAUUUAUUCUAACAGACUUUAAAAAAAAAAAGAUAUACGGGGGCAACACACAAGCAAUAAAGGGCUAUACAUGUGCAAUACAUAUGCAAUACAUAUCUGUCAUGGCAUUUGCCAAUUAAAUCACUGAUUUGGUUACAUUUGUUUUUUUUUCUUCUUUGCAAGGGGAACGAUAAAACUAGGGCUGGCAAUGGGUCGUGUCGUGUCGGGUUCGUGUCGUGUCGGGAUAAUAAACGUGUCAAGAAUGCUCAACCCGAACCCAACCCAUUUAAUAAACGUGUCGUGUCGGGUUCGGGUCGUCUUUUAUCGUGCGGGUUUCGAGUCGUGUAACGGGUUCAUAAAGAAUAACAUGCAUGUUACAAAACUCACAACCGAAAAAAUUUUAAUUAAAAAAAAACAGAGAGAGUAGAGAAAAUAUAAGGAAAAGAAAGAAAGAAAAAAGAUAGAGAGAGGAGAGAAGAGAGAAGGAAAAGAAAGAAAAAAAAUAGAGAGAGAGAGAGAGAGAAGAUUGAAGGAAAGAAAGAAAGAAAAAAGAGAGAUGAGAGAAAACUAAAGAGAAGGAAAAAAAAAAGGAGAGAAGAGGAAAGGAAAAGAGAAGAAAAAAAAAAGAGAGGAGAAGAAAGAAGGAAAAAAAAGAAAAAGAAAAAAAAAAGGAGAAGAGAGACGGAAAAGAAAGGAAAACUCAAAAGAAAAGAAACAUUAUAAAUAUCAAAAGGCAUACCAUAAAAUCACAAAGUUGGUUAUAACAUGGUGGAUAAGAUGUUGGAGAAAAUGAGGAUAGGAGGGGUUCGAAACCCCUUGUGUGUGUGUUGAAGUCUCCAUUUGUUUUUAUUUUUUAGCGGGUUAGCGGGUUGUACACGGGUUGACACGACCCGUGACACGACCCGUUUAAUAAACGGGUUAGAUAGGUAUUAUAGCGGGUUAGCGGGUUGACCCGAAACCCACCCGUUUAUUAAACGGGUCAGAACGGGUUGACCCGAAAUUGACUUGUUUUUUUAUCGUGCGGGUUGAACCCGCUAAUUUCUCGUGCGGGUUUCGAGUCGUGUAUCGGGUCGUAUCCGAAAUUGCCACCCCUAGAUAAAACCAUGGAAACUAGAGAUUGACAAAUUUCCUUCUAACUUGACUUU